Molecule: long non-coding RNA, 213 nt
Filed under: Homo sapiens (human)
Lineage: Eukaryota; Metazoa; Chordata; Mammalia; Primates; Hominidae
Description: HSALNT0142331
Source: RNAcentral
GAGUUCUGCUCUGGCACAGAAUAAGGCUGCUAUUGUCAUAACACUCUGGCUCUGCUCUGACUUCAGUGACAGUGAAAAGCAAAAUGGAGGAAAGGGAAAAGGAAGAUGGGAGAAAGAUAAAAGGAAGAAAGAAGACGGAGAAUUCUGAAACUUGGAGGCAAGAGAGGGCAGAAGAUGAAACGCUGAGUUAAAAUAUUAUCCUGGAAUAAGCCC